UUGUAUGCAAGUAUUAGGACAACAUGUCAGGUUCGUGUCCGUAAUAAAAUGUACCAAGUUGGUAUGGAUGAUGAUUUCGGAAUUCUGACAAAUGAUUUUCUAACAAUAUGUCACUAAAAAUAUCAUGCAUUUGGGUGGUGUUAGAGAAGGUCAUCACAGAAUUAAUAAUUUUCAGAUUUUCUUUCAUAAUUUUCUUUGAGGGAA
RNAcentral lists this long non-coding RNA (204 nucleotides) under Elaeis guineensis (African oil palm). RNAcentral's name for it is "long non-coding RNA (EGUI_LNC018550)". Lineage: Eukaryota; Viridiplantae; Streptophyta; Magnoliopsida; Arecales; Arecaceae. The record is from RNAcentral.